AACGAACGCUGGCGGCAGGCCUAACACAUGCAAGUCGAACGCUUCAGCAAUGGAGAGUGGCAGACGGGUGAGUAACACGUGGGAACCUUCCCUAUGGUUCGGAAUAGCCCAGGGAAACUUGGGGUAAUACCGGAUAAGCCCUUCGGGGAAGGAUUUAUCGCCAUUGGAUGGGCCCGCGUCGGAUUAGCUAGUUGGUGGGGUAACGGCCUACCAAGGCGACGAUCCGUAGCUGGUCUGAGAGGANGAUCAGCCACACUGGGACUGAGACACGGCCCAGACUCCUACGGGAGGCAGCAGUGGGGAAUAUUGGACAAUGGGCGCAAGCCUGAUCCAGCCAUGCCGCGUGAGUGACGAAGGUCUUUCGGAUUGUAAAGCUCUUUUGGUCGGGGACGAUAAU
RNAcentral lists this ribosomal RNA (397 nucleotides) under uncultured bacterium. RNAcentral's name for it is "bacterial SSU rRNA". It matches the Rfam family "Bacterial small subunit ribosomal RNA", at positions 29 to 452 of the family's 1533-position model. The record is from RNAcentral.